This 305-nucleotide ribosomal RNA is filed under the name uncultured bacterium. Its description in RNAcentral is "bacterial SSU rRNA". It matches the Rfam family "Bacterial small subunit ribosomal RNA", at positions 334 to 636 of the family's 1533-position model. The record is from RNAcentral.
UUCACCUACGGGGGGCAGCAGUGAGGAAUAUUGGUCAAUGGCCGAGAGGCUGAACCAGCCAAGUCGCGUGAGGGAUGACGGCCCUACGGGUUGUAAACCUCUUUUGUCGGGGAGCAAGACCCGCCUCGUGCAGGCGGAGCGAGAGUACCCGAAGAAAAAGCAUCGGCUAACUCCGUGCCAGCAGCCGCGGUAAUACGGAGGAUGCGAGCGUUAUCCGGAUUUAUUGGGUUUAAAGGGUGCGUAGGCGGGACGGUAAGUCAGCGGUAAAAAUGCGGAGCUCAACUCCGUCGAGCCGUUGAAACUGC